ACUAGGAUUCUGUCUUAUGACUUGUUUUAAUUUAGUUUCCCAAACCAAAUCAAAUCAAAAUUAGAUCAACCUAAUUAAAAUAGGUCUUAACCCAAUUAAGAACCUAAUUUAAUCAUAUUAAAUUAGAUUUAAAUCUGAUUUAAUUUUUUAAUCAAAUUAGAAAUUAGAUUGACCCAAGUCCUAGUUGAACUAGGACUAGUUUUUCCUUGCACUUGGCUUAUCCAAUAAACUAAUUGGACUUGAUCCAAUCAAGUCCAAAAUAAAUCUAAUUAAAUUAUAUUUAAUUAGAUUUAAUUUCAACCCAUUAGCUUAAUCAAAUUAAGCCAAUUAGCAAUCAAAUUGCUAAUCGAUCCUCCUGCAACACUUGCACUGGGUUAAAUGUCAAUCGUAUUGAUCAUUUAACCCUAGAAUGAUUCUUAAUCAUUGAUCAACCAUCUGAUCGGAUCAUGAACUCUAAUGUGUGUGACCUCAUAGGUCCGAACCUAAGCCGGUAGCAUAGGAAUAAAUUUCUAUACCAAUCGAAGUGACCAUCUAGCAAUGGUACCCGACGAUCAGAUAGGUCGAAUGUGUAGAACAACAUCCUUAGAACCCAUGCGGAUAUAGUUUUCAUAUAAUUCAUCUCCUCGACCAAAAUGAUCAUAGAACACCCCAGAGCUCAACUAUCUACUCUGAUCAGGUUGUCCACAUUGUAUUUCAAAAUAUCAAAUCCAUCUGAUGGAUUACCCUGGCCAAGGUUUUGCUAAAUUAAAAUACAGCGACUCAUUCUUCUCCAACUCUUGGAGUGGUCAAUCCC
RNAcentral lists this long non-coding RNA (793 nucleotides) under Elaeis guineensis (African oil palm). RNAcentral describes it as "long non-coding RNA (EGUI_LNC053976)". The record is from RNAcentral. Lineage: Eukaryota; Viridiplantae; Streptophyta; Magnoliopsida; Arecales; Arecaceae.